GUGCUCACUGGGACACCACAUAUACUAAAAUUGAAAUGAUACAGAAAAGAUUAGUAUGGCCACUGAGCAGGGAUGACACACAUAUCCAUGAAGCAUUCCAGAUUUUU
Molecule: small nuclear RNA, 107 nt
Filed under: Chinchilla lanigera (long-tailed chinchilla)
Lineage: Eukaryota; Metazoa; Chordata; Mammalia; Rodentia; Chinchillidae
Source: RNAcentral